AUGGGCGGGCACGGCGGGCUGAACAUCCUGCCGCAGAAGCGGUGGAACGUCUACAGGUUCGACAACCAGGAGAAGGUCCGCGUCGACGAGGCCGAGGCCGCCCGCCAGGACCAGCUCCAGCGCGAGGCCACCCGCCGCCGCGAGUCGCACGCCCGCCUCGUCGCGCUCCGCCGCAACCGGGGCCUCCAGUCCGACUCGCCCUCCCCUCCCCGUGCCCCAUCUCCACCCCCCUCCUCCGCCCGCUCCGCGGAUCAGGUCGCCCCGCUGCGGCCUCCACCCCCUGCUGCCCGGCCCGCGGUUCCAUCCCCCGUCGUCUCCGACGGAGACCACAUCAACCUCUUCUCCGGCGGCGGUGGGGCCGCUGACUUCGCCGCGCUUGCCUCCGCUAGCGGCGGGAGAGGCGCAGCUCGGGAGAGGGAGCCUGCGGCAGACACUAAGCCAAACCCUAAGAAGCGUAAGGAGGAGGUUAGGACGGCGGGGCCUGACGACGAAAAGUACAAGCUGGGUUAUGGCCUUGCCGGGAAGGGCGUGGCGGCGCCCUGGUACAUGUCGAAGCCUUUGGCUUCCUCCUCUAAGGAGAGGAGAGAUUACGCCGAGGGCAACGGAGAGAAGAGGAGUGGAGGGAAGAAGAGUAUCGAGGAGCUUAGAGAGGAGAGGAGGAAGAGGGAGGCCAAGGAGAAGGAGCGUGAGCGAGCCUUGCUUGCCACUACAGCAAGGAAGGAGAGGCAGCCAGACCGGGGGUACUCGUCGAGGUAUGUGCGACGAUGA
RNAcentral lists this ribosomal RNA (768 nucleotides) under Triticum aestivum (bread wheat). Its description in RNAcentral is "partial small subunit ribosomal RNA". The record is from RNAcentral. Lineage: Eukaryota; Viridiplantae; Streptophyta; Magnoliopsida; Poales; Poaceae.